Molecule: unclassified non-coding RNA, 253 nt
Filed under: uncultured Calditrichota bacterium
Lineage: Bacteria; Pseudomonadati; Calditrichota
Description: uncultured Calditrichaeota bacterium contains 16S-23S intergenic spacer region
Rfam family: Bacterial small subunit ribosomal RNA
Source: RNAcentral
UACGGGGGGUGCAAGCGUUGUCCGGAAUUACUGGGCGUAAAGGGUGUGUAGGUGGAAGGGUAAGUCAGACGUGAAAUCCAGCGGCUUAACCGUUGAAUGGCGUCUGAAACUACUCUUCUUGAGUCACGAUAAGGUAAGUGGAAUUCCAGGUGUAGCGGUGAAAUGCUAAGAUAUCUGGAAGAACACCGGUAGCGAAGGCGGCUUACUGGUCGUUGACUGACGCUGAAACACGAAAGCAUGGGGAGCAAACAGG